RNAcentral lists this ribosomal RNA (254 nucleotides) under uncultured bacterium. RNAcentral describes it as "partial 16S ribosomal RNA". It matches the Rfam family "Bacterial small subunit ribosomal RNA", at positions 524 to 776 of the family's 1533-position model. The record is from RNAcentral.
UACGUAGGGUGCGAGCGUUGUCCGGAAUUAUUGGGCGUAAAGAGCUCGUAGGCGGUCUGUCGCGUCGGUCGUGAAAACCUGCAGCUUAACUGUGGGCGUGCGGUCGAUACGGGCAUCACUGGAGUUCGGCAGGGGAGACUGGAAUUCCUGGUGUAGCGGUGAAAUGCGCAGAUAUCAGGAGGAACACCGGUGGCGAAGGCGGGUCUCUGGGCCGAUACUGACGCUGAGGAGCGAAAGCGUGGGGAGCGAACAGG